AUUGAACGCUGGCGGUAGGCCUAACACAUGCAAGUCGAACGGCAGCACAGUAAGAGCUUGCUCUUACGGGUGGCGAGUGGCGGACGGGUGAGGAAUACAUCGGAAUCUACUUUUUCGUGGGGGAUAACGUAGGGAAACUUACGCUAAUACCGCAUACGACCUACGUGUGAAAGCAGUGGAUCUUCGGAUCUUUCGCGAUUGAAUGAGCCGAUGUCGGAUUAGCUAGUUGGCGGGGUAACGGCCCACCAAGGCGACGAUCCGUAGCUGGUCUGAGAGGAUGAUCAGCCACACUGGAACUGAGACACGGUCCAGACUCCUACGGGAGGCAGCAGUGGGGAAUAUUGGACAAUGGGCGCAAGCCUGAUCCAGCCAUACCGCGUGGGUGAAGAAGGCCUUCGGGUUGUAAAGCCCUUUUGUUGGGAAAGAAAAGCAGCAGGUUAAUACCCCGCUGUUCUGACGGUACCCAAAGAAUAAGCACCGGCUAACUUCGUG
RNAcentral lists this ribosomal RNA (492 nucleotides) under uncultured bacterium. RNAcentral describes it as "partial 16S ribosomal RNA". It matches the Rfam family "Bacterial small subunit ribosomal RNA", at positions 30 to 507 of the family's 1533-position model. The record is from RNAcentral.